CUUGAUGGCGACCGGCGCACGGGUGAGUAACGCGUAUCCAACCUUCCCUAUACUAGAGGAUAGCCCGGCGAAAGUCGGAUUAAUACUCUAUGUUGUAUUUCGAGGACAUCUGAAGAAUACCAAAGGUUUACCGGUAUAGGAUGGGGAUGCGUCUGAUUAGGUUGUUGGCGGGGUAACGGCCCACCAAGCCUACGAUCAGUAGGGGUUCUGAGAGGAAGGUCCCCCACAUUGGAACUGAGACACGGUCCAAACUCCUACGGGAGGCAGCAGUGAGGAAUAUUGGUCAAGUGGACGAGAGUCUGAACCAGCCAAGUAGCGUGCAGGAUGACGGCCCUAUGGGUUGUAAACUGCUUUUAUACAGGGAUAAAGUGACGUACGUGUACGUUUUUGUAGGUACUGUAUGAAUAAGGACCGGCUAAUUCCGUGCCAGCCGCUGC
This 437-nucleotide ribosomal RNA is filed under the name uncultured bacterium. Its description in RNAcentral is "bacterial SSU rRNA". It matches the Rfam family "Bacterial small subunit ribosomal RNA", at positions 84 to 518 of the family's 1533-position model. The record is from RNAcentral.